This is a long non-coding RNA of Dendroctonus ponderosae (mountain pine beetle), 706 nucleotides long. RefSeq lists it as uncharacterized. The record is from RefSeq and is a predicted model, not a curated record. The transcript is spliced from 2 exons. Lineage: Eukaryota; Metazoa; Arthropoda; Insecta; Coleoptera; Curculionidae.
UCAAAAAGCACCCUAACCCUCUGCAAGUCGCUACUUCAGCGGUGUACGUAACCGUCAUCGUACUUUACCUAACAGUGAACGAGCGGAUUGCAGAUUUAAUGAGAUGAGCGGUUUCAGCUUGAUGGUGCUUUGUUUGCCGAGUGCAAACGUGUGACCAGCCAAGUAUAUAAAGCACGGUGUUUUGGGGAACAGUGAAGCAUCGCUCUAUAUUUAUGCGGUUUUAGUAGUUUCCGAACGAUGACAUAAUCGUUUUAUUCAGUAAUUGUGGGUUUACAAGGAUAAACAAAGCAUUUGCUGCUACGAAAGACAAAUACGAAUGAAAUGUGGAUUUCUCUAUGGUUUUCUGACAGUCAUUAAACAGUUGAGAUCCUAGAUAUUAAUUACGGAUUGCACUUUGAAGAGUUCGGGUUUAAUUGAGCAAAAAUAACGAGAGUCUGAAGAUAAUUCAGACACAAAACAAAAUCAAACAAACUUUUAAGCAUGGUCAGCUGUCAAACUGGCAGGCGACGUUGCCGCAUGUCAGAUAAACGAACUUUACCAAAUCAACAGAAUACAGGGUGUAUUUGAAUAGAUUGUAAAAAUGAAAUGGAUGAAUCCUGAGCUACAUUCGAUUUGAGAAGUUCACUUAUAACUGUGAAUGUGAAUUUAAUCUGUUAAUGUUAUUUCGUAAGGUGAUUGUCAAUUUUAUAAACCCAAAUUUACUAUU